Molecule: long non-coding RNA, 1101 nt
Organism: Ictalurus punctatus (channel catfish)
Lineage: Eukaryota; Metazoa; Chordata; Actinopteri; Siluriformes; Ictaluridae
Source: Ensembl
UUUUAAUAAAGUUAUAGUAGUAUGUGUGAGAGAGAGUGUGUGUUAUGUCUACAUGCCCGCCCUUGACUGUACGAGAGUGUGUGUGUGUGUGUGUUAGCACUCCCAGCUCGUAUACUUCUUUUUGACCCUUUGACUAAUAAACCAUAGUGUAUUACUCUUAAAGAUCUAAGAUCUUUAAUGUGUGAAUCCAAUUCAAUAUUCAAUAUCAGUCAAUAUCCGCCUCACACCACUUCUGUGUGUCUUUUCCGUCUUUUCUUCUUCUCCCCUUUACUGGAUACUAGGUCUCCCUCAUGUUUAUUUUAUGACAUUUUUUAUCCACAACACAGGAAAAUCUAUAUAUAAGAAAAUAUUUUCCUAGAAGCACAAAUAAGGGUAUUUUACCCUUUUUGUCAUUUUAAUUUGCACCUUGAACUGUAUGCUUUUUCUGUCAUUUUAUAUUCUGCCUUCACACAGUUCUUUGCACAGUGUAGUCACAUAAUGGAAAUGUUGAGUUCAAAGUACUGUCACCAUGUUAGACUACUAGGUGCACAGCAAGACUUAAACACAAUGAAUAAGGGUGUGUCACAUUUAAAAACAUCUUUACAAUUGCAGUGAACACAAUAAAAAGUGAUAUUUUUAUAUGAUAGACAUUUCCAGGAAACUUAAAUGUCCAAAACUGUCCUGGAUACUCUACCUUGACAAAUUGGACAAGUCUUCCUAUGCCAUCUUUGUGCAAUUUUGUGCUUGGUUUUUGUGUGUUGGUUUUUGUUUUUGUUUUUUUCUUCUCCAGACUCUGGAGGUUUUACCUCUUUUUGGGAUCUGGAAGAACGAUGUUAAGGAGUCCAUUCAGGUGAAUGAACAAGAAAAACUUUUAGGUUAUAUCUCUUUAGCAUUUCCAUUCCAGUGGAGUUUGUGUCUAUGGUGAGGAGUGUUAUGGCUCCCAACAUACCCAGCGUUUGAGGGAGUAGUGGACUUCUAAUUCAACAAUAACAUAAUGGUUCCAGAGAGAACCAGAGCUAUUGUGAAUAUAGACAAUAUACUAAAUAGAAGUUGUGCUGUACGUGGACUACUUUUCAUUUUACACAGUUAUAACUGUAUAGAGAAGUACCAUGUUGGUAAUUU